AACAGGAUAGGCAUUCGAAUAAGUGACCUUAACUGCAUAUUCACACAGAAUAGGAGUAAAGUGAAAUUUUCACAGAUUUUAAGUCUAUAACAUCCUAAUUACAUAUAGCCUUAGUGUAUCCACUUAGCAACUAUCAACUUAGUAAUGAAGAUCUCGUUUUAGUUCUUAAGUAUAAAGUACUUAUAGUAACACCAAAUACCCCUAUAGUAUUUUAAGUUUAAUGUUAUGUUCUACUGUAAUCAUUAUGGUAUUGUUGGUAAGAUUUUAGACUUGUUCCAACCACACAACCACAUUUAGGGACAUGCUAGUCAACCCUCGGAUAAUAUAGUUGAUCAGGCUAUAUCUUCCCAGUUUUGAGCAUAUGUCUCUAAGUCCACCUGUGUUGCUCAACAAUCGUAAUUCUUUUGUACUGUCCUAGCGACACUGAUUUUAGUAUGAAUGCACGCACGUAUACUUACUUAAAUAUUUUAUUAUUUUAAGUAUAAACUCUUGGUAAGAGUAUUUUAAUCCAAAUGUAUUUAUAUUUAGUAUAUCUUUUAUGGGUUGAUUUACUUAAUUCACUAUAAACAAUGCUCUGAUACCAAUCUGUCACACCCCAAAACCAAGAUAGGCGGAAACGUUCUGGGGCGGAGGACGACAUGUACAGCAUCACAACAAUGAAAAGUAGUAAACAAGCAACAACAUCAUCCAUUGCAUUAAUGAUAUAAUUUUAAUACAUGUGUUCUGACAAAUUGUGAUAAACACAAAAGUAUAAUCAAAAUGAAAGAUGCGUCUUGAACGAGCUCCAUCUUCUCUAAACCUUGCAUCGGUACCUGUCACAUCCCAAAACCGGAACGGCGGAAACGUUCUGGGGUGGAUGACGUCAUGUCAAGUAUCAAAACAUAUGCAGUAUAGUAAUCAAAGUACAACAAUCAUUGCAUUAAUAGUACUAGUUUUACAUGGUUUACAUUUCAUAGAGACAUUACAGUAAUACAAGUAAUAAUAUAGGUGCAGCUCGGUACUAAACAGUCUUCACCAAAAGCUCAUGGGAUGUACCUGCAUAUUGCUGACCUGAGAAUACAAGUUAUUUGAAAGCAAGUAUCAACAUUUUUAUAAAUGUUGGUGAGUUCGUAAGUAUUUAGUGUCAUUUUAUCCAAAUAACUUUAUACAAGUAGUAGUUUAGAAUCAACGGUGUAUUAGUGCCAUUUCCAGAAAAUCCUAUAUUUUCUCAAUUAAAAGCAGUCUCCUACCAAGACCCGACAAUUUUAUGUUUUAAAGAGAAUUUCCCUAAAAUAUUAUCAU
Molecule: long non-coding RNA, 1281 nt
Filed under: Lactuca sativa (garden lettuce)
Lineage: Eukaryota; Viridiplantae; Streptophyta; Magnoliopsida; Asterales; Asteraceae
Description: long non-coding RNA (LSAT_LNC000774)
Source: RNAcentral